GACGAACCGUGCGAACGUUAUUCGGAAUCACUGGGCUUAAAGCGCGUGUAGGCGGCCUGGAGCGUCAGCAGCUGAAAUCCCCCGGCUCAACCGGGGAACGGGCUCUGAAACGUCCAGGCUGGAGGGGGGUAGGGGGUGCGGGAACUCACGGUGGAGCGGUGAAAUGCGUUGAGAUCGUGAGGAACGCCCGUGGCGAAAGCGCGCACCUGGACCCCGCCUGACGCUGAGACGCGAAAGCUAGGGGAGCGAACGGG
This 254-nucleotide ribosomal RNA is filed under the name uncultured bacterium. Its description in RNAcentral is "partial 16S ribosomal RNA". It matches the Rfam family "Bacterial small subunit ribosomal RNA", at positions 524 to 776 of the family's 1533-position model. The record is from RNAcentral.